RNAcentral lists this ribosomal RNA (471 nucleotides) under uncultured bacterium. RNAcentral's name for it is "bacterial SSU rRNA". It matches the Rfam family "Bacterial small subunit ribosomal RNA", at positions 335 to 801 of the family's 1533-position model. The record is from RNAcentral.
ACUCCUACGGGAGGCAGCAGUGGGAAUAUUGGACAAUGGGGGAAACCCUGAUCCAGCCAUGCCGCGUGUGUGAAGAAGGCCUUCGGGUUGUAAAGCACUUUCAGUGGGGAGGAAAGGUUGUUGGUUAAUACCUAACAGCUGUGACGUUACCCACAGAAACACCCGGCUAACUCCGUGCCAGCAGCCGCGGUAAUACGGAGGGUGCAAGCGUUAAUCGGAAUUACUGGGCGUAAAGCGUGCGCAGGCGGUCUGUUAAGCGAGAUGUGAAAGCCCCGGGCUCAACCUGGGAACUGCAUUUCGAACUGGCAGACUAGAGUCUUGUAGAGGGGGUAGAAUUCCAGGUGUAGCGGUGAAAUGCGUAGAGAUCUGGAGGAAUACCGGUGGCGAAGGCGGCCCCUGGACAAAGACUGACGCUCAGGCCACGAAAGCGUGGGGGAGCAAACAGGAUUAGAUACCCUGGUAGGCUCUGCU